Long non-coding RNA from Anguilla anguilla (European eel), 373 nucleotides. RefSeq lists it as uncharacterized. The transcript has 3 exons. The record is from RefSeq and is a predicted model, not a curated record. NCBI's taxonomy places the organism in Eukaryota, Metazoa, Chordata, Actinopteri, Anguilliformes, Anguillidae.
GUCUCAGCUUGCCCGCAGUGCGGUGCGGUUCUGAGAAACAUGGGAUUUCCGAGAAGUUAUCACUUGCCCGAAACACGCCACCGUGACAUGCAAAGACAGUUUCUGUGGAAACAGGAACACACGCGGGAGGGGCUAUGAGCUCCCAAUAGGCUACUUUUCAGUUAUAAGAAUGCUCAUAGACCCCAAAGAAGCAUGUGCAUAAGCUGUACUAAUACAAUGAUCCAGCCAUGACGUAGUGUGCCAGGCCUCACUAAUUACGCGAUCUUGACUGAGCAGCAGCGUUCUCUAGAACAUGCAUUGGCCCUUUUUCACAACAUGACUCCACUUUGGAGAGCCUGGCACAGACGUUAGCCCACUGGGAAUUUCCACUGUC